CGGGGAAUUUUGGACAAUGGGCGAAAGCCUGAUCCAGCAAUGCCGCGUGUGUGAAGAAGGCCUUCGGGUUGUAAAGCACUUUUGUCCGGAAAGAAAUCCUUGGCUCUAAUACAGUCGGGGGAUGACGGUACCGGAAGAAUAAGCACCGGCUAACUACGUGCCAGCAGCCGCGGUAAUACGUAGGGUGCAAGCGUUAAUCGGAAUUACUGGGCGUAAAGCGUGCGCAGGCGGUUUGCUAAGACCGAUGUGAAAUCCCCGGGCUCAACCUGGGAACUGCAUUGGUGACUGGCAGGCUAGAGUAUGGCAGAGGGGGGUAGAAUUCCACGUGUAGCAGUGAAAUGCGUAGAGAUGUGGAGGAAUACCGAUGGCGAAGGCAGCCCCCUGGGCCAAUACUGACGCUCAUGCACGAAAGCGUGGGGAGCAAACAGGAUUAGAUACCCUGGUAGUCCACGCCCUAAACGAUGUCAACUAGUUGUUGGGGAUUCAUUUCCUAGUAACGUAGCUAACGCGUGAAGUUGACCGCCUGGGGAGUACGUCGCAAGAUUAAAACUCAAAGGAAUUGACGGGGUC
This 570-nucleotide ribosomal RNA is filed under the name uncultured bacterium. RNAcentral describes it as "partial 16S ribosomal RNA". It matches the Rfam family "Bacterial small subunit ribosomal RNA", at positions 355 to 920 of the family's 1533-position model. The record is from RNAcentral.